Molecule: long non-coding RNA, 2185 nt
Organism: Heterocephalus glaber (naked mole-rat)
Lineage: Eukaryota; Metazoa; Chordata; Mammalia; Rodentia; Bathyergidae
Source: Ensembl
CACAUUGUUAAGCUGUGGAUUUGUCUUUAAUAAUGACUUAGAAUAAACAUUUUUCUUCAUUCAUUGCUUUACAUAUUAGACAUUUCUCAUUGUAAGCAGAUUCAAAUUAGAUAAUAAAACAUUUUUUAAAUCACAGAAGCCAAUUACAUUUCAUUACUCUGAAUGGCUUCACUCUGGGUUUUUUUUUUUCAGUAUUAGAGAUUAUAGUUAAAAUAAAUUUACAUUGUUAAGGAAAAGGCAUACAUUUAUUAAUAGCUAGUAGUUAUAGAAACAGUGCUUUUACCAAUGUGACCUCUCCCCAAAACAGAAACAUAUAGUAGUCCCAGACCACAUAUGUCUUAUGUUCCAAAGUGUUUUAGACAACUUUUGGGAGUUAGGAUACAUUUUCUCACAGAAACAGCAGUAAUUGGGUUCCCUAUGCACACUACCACUAAAAGCUCACAUUGGAACCUAAUCCACUUAACUAUGGAUGUACUUAACUUACAAUAUGGUUGAUAAUUUUUCAUCAUAGACCCUGACGAAUAUUUAAUAACAUCACUCUAAGGAGAUUGUGUGCAGCAGCGAAACUGACACAUGGGGGUGCCUGCCUGCGCUGUAUACCUCUGUCCCUAGGUGUAGGAAAUAGAAGAAGAGAUUCAGCAGAGGGAAAGAGGACGUAACAAAUAUACAAUUAGAAAACCUGCUUAUAUCUAUUAUGAAAGUAUACUUAGGUUUUGUUGUUGCAAAUGUGAAAGCAAAAACUUCUAUGUUAAUUUAUUUUCCAUAUCUUGACCUUAUUUAUAAUCUGCUAAAGUGGUGAUUUACCCAUUCAAUAUAUAUAUAUAUAUAUUUUCCAUUUAAAACUAAUUUAUAAACUAUGUAAUUGUGGGAAGAUUUGAAAUCUUUUAGAAGUUUGUUGGAAUAUUUUCACCAUUAAAGACAGACUUCUGACUUAGAUACUGAUUUUAAUGCCAGUAUCUGCUCUAAAUAUUUAUGAUAAAAAUGCAUUAUUUUUUUAAAGAGCUUGAUGAGAUUUGUGAUAAGUAAUAGUACUCAAGAGUCUGAAUCCCACUCCUUGAUCAAUCCUCCACAUAUUUCAGUUGGGUAGCUCCCUAACUGAACAUAAACAGUAGUCUCUUCUAGAAGUCAUGUUCUCAGCCUUAUGAUAGUUAACUUAGGCCUUAGCAGUUAAUAGUCUUCCUUCUUAAAAGGUAGACUAAAUUUUCACAGAAAAUGGGGUUAGGUUGGGGGUACUACAAUACCAAAUUCUUAAAUCAUGAGCAUUUUCUUCACUGUGUACCUGAGGGAAAUCAUGCAGCUGAGUUGGUUUGGCCUGGUCCCUCAAGAGAAAAGCAUGUCACCAUAUUUGAAUGAGGGGUACUGUGCUUUGAAUGGAUACUAUCACUCUUUUCUCCAUGAACAGUGCAGAUUGCUGUCUGGAGCGCCAGUUUGAACAGAUUCCCUGGUGCUCCCUCUGCUCCUUCCAUCACUACAGCAAGUAAAAGAACCAUAUUGAGGAACUGGGAGUCUGAGAAAAUGAGUUGUGCUCAAUACCAACCUCCCUAUGAGGAAAACCGUUCCAUAUGCAGCUAUUUUGGUACCUUUUCCACAUGUACUCUGAAUCAGGGUUUUUCUAUUAGAAAUCCUUCGGAAUCAGCAAAAGCUGGGAUGACCCAGUCACCUUGAUUUGCAAAUUAAAAGAACAAACCUAGGUUAUCAGUUUUCACUGUAAAGGAGAAGCUCAUCUCUUCACAGUAUAGUGUUGAACUGGUUCUGACACCUCUUUAGAGAGAAAAAUUCCAAGAGUAAAAGUUAAUUUUAGGGAAAGGUAGAUGGUUCUUUCUGAAUUUUUCAUUCUAAAAAUUUAUAUAAUAUGGAAUAACAUAAAGCUACUAAACUGCUUUGUAUGCUAUUAAGAAAUAGCUCCUCAAAAUGUAGUCAUGUUUCACAGAAGUUGCACUAUGUCAAAGCUUUUUAAAGUGUACUCCCAGUUCUCCUCUGUAUGGAAAAGGAACAUUGUGUUACUUAAUGAAUUUAUUUAUACAGAGAAUUUGUUGACAACUCUUAAUUCCAGCCAUCCACACUGUUGUGAGGUGGCAGUAGCACAUGGGAAGAUGAACUCUCCCUGUUUGUUUAUCCUUUUUUCUUUGGCUGUAUCUGAUGACAGUAUAAAUGUUCUUAAUAAAGUUCUAUGUUCUUUUUGAAG